UACGUAGGUGGCAAGCGUUGUCCGGAAUUAUUGGGCGUAAAGCGCGCGCAGGCGGUCCUUUAAGUCUGAUGUGAAAGCCCACGGCUCAACCGUGGAGGGUCAUUGGAAACUGGAGGACUUGAGUGCAGAAGAGGAAAGUGGAAUUCCAUGUGUAGCGGUGAAAUGCGUAGAGAUGUGGAGGAACACCAGUGGCGAAGGCGACUUUCUGGGACGAUCCUGACGCUGAGGCGCGAAAGCGUGGGGAGCAAACAGG
This 253-nucleotide unclassified non-coding RNA is filed under the name uncultured Caryophanaceae bacterium. RNAcentral describes it as "uncultured Planococcaceae bacterium contains 16S-23S intergenic spacer region". It matches the Rfam family "Bacterial small subunit ribosomal RNA", at positions 524 to 776 of the family's 1533-position model. The record is from RNAcentral. Lineage: Bacteria; Bacillati; Bacillota; Bacilli; Caryophanales; Caryophanaceae.